AACCCUACCUGCAUGUACAUAAUUGUUAAUUACCUCGACACCAGUUCCCCGCACAUUGCAUCUGUAUCGGUACCCCCUGUAUAUAGCCCCGCUAUUGUUAUUCACUGCUGCUCUUAAUUAUUUGGUUUUCUUAUCUCUUACUACUUCAAUUUUAUUUUUUAGGUAUUCUCUUAACCGCAUCGUUGGUUAAGGGCUUGUAAGUAAGCAUUUCACUGUAACCUGUUGUAUUUGGCACAUGUGACAAAUACAAUUUGAUUUGAAACAAUACAUGCCAGCUCUUUUUUUCUUUUUUUGCACGCUGGAAUAUUGUGGUGAGGUUAUUGCUGUUUUAACAUGGUUAUUUCAAAUACUAAAGGUCAACUUACCAAGACUUGUGUGAGAAAUUGUGUUCAAGUUACUUUAAAAUACAAUUAUUUAAUUGAAAAAUAGUGUUUUGGGAUGUUUCUUGGCUUUAAUGAUCUCCUCUUUCUAUGAUCCAUCUGUGAGCUUCUGAGUGUCGGGGUGAACUCCUGGCUGUUAUGUAACUCAGUGUUUUUCUUCCCUGGCCUGCACAGCUGCAGCACAGAAGGGGAGAGAGGCUGAGCAGACAGAACUGGCCCUUUGGCAUUGGUCCCUCAGUCUGCAGGCCAAGGUGCUGGAGGCUAUGGGUCGCGGAGUAGCACCGAAAGCAGGAGAGGCUGGCCCAGGAUGCCCAGUUCUAUAGAGACCAGCUUCUGAGGAAAGGGGUGGCCCACGCCGCUCACAUGGGCAGCUUCUGCACCAACAUAGCACUUCACAGCCAGGAGCAGAGUUCUUCGCGGUGUCUCCAGGGGUGGUGUUGCAGUGGAAACAGACAGCAGUGAGGGUGGCCGUGCGUGCUUCCAGAUGACAACCACAACGGCCUAGAGUUCUGCUGUACUCCCCGGUCAAAGAGCUGCUACCACCUGCAGCUCCUCUACCACCUCCAACCCAGGUCCCAGUGACAGCGAGCUUCGACCCUGCUGCAGCCUCCCUCCCCAUUAGUCCCAUACUGGCACGCCCAGCGCCCCCAUCUCAGUCUCCCAACAGCUCCACAUUAUGGAUCAGUAGACCAGACUGCCCCCCUCCUCAUUCAUGACCACCUACAGUCAAACUAAGGUAGUGAGGAGUCACUACUGCACCCCCCUUAGCCUGGACCAUAGAGCUGCUCAAUAUCCACAUGGACAUGCAGCGCUUCCAACAGGGCUGCAAGCAACUUCAGUAAGGACCCACAGGUUGUAAGGCAACAAAAUAGGAAAAAUGCCAGGGGGGUGAAUACUUUCUCAAGCCACUGUAGCUAAGACUUGAAGAGGUGUUGAGCAGCUGGCUGCAGACGAGUGGAAGUGAGGGAGAGACUGCGGAGAGGAACACAAUCAGCCAAGGGCUGGAUGAGGUAAGACUUGAAGGGAAGAUGCUGCGGUCAUUGGUAUAUGUAAGGGCCACAAUGUCUUCAAGGCAGAGUAAUUAAGGAUUUAUAAACAAACAAUGGUGAUUAUGAAAAGAAAAAAAAUGGAGAGAAAAAAAAAGUAUACUGGCUAUUCACCAGUCCAUAAAGAACCAGAACCAAUCAUUGAAGUAAUACUUUUUUCAUUGGUUUCCUAUCCACUUAUAAAUGAAUAACUAAACUGAUGGCUUUGAUUUAGCAUGCAUUCCUCUGGAGGUGUCAUUUUCAUGUGAGCCAUAAAUCUUCAGCUAUGAAAACGGAGCAGUCAGAAUUUACAGCAAGUAUAUAAUAACCAUGCCAUAUUGUGCAACGAUUUUUUUUCCCAUUUUGUGGUCAUUCCAGAUUCAUUUUCCAGCUCUUUGUAUUGUUAUUGACAGAUGGAGUGUAUUGGAAGACUGUCAGCUGAGCUGGCAGAGCAGAAGCCUGUAAAUAUCUUGCAUGCUGCCAGGAUCCACAGGAUAGAGAGUGUUCUCCACAGCAGCACAGCCACGGGACUGGGACUGGGACUGGGACAGGCAGUUCUCAGCAGGCCUCCAGAGCAUGGGGCUACUGAUCAUUACUCUGUCCACCACACUAGAUGACUGACCGGACCAUGGUCGCCCCAGUGGUGUAAGAGAAUGACAUGUUGCCAUUCUCCACUGGUUGUUUUUUAUAGUAUAAAAACAUCAUUAUUCAAAAUAGAGGCAGAUGUAUGGAAAUUGUUCAAUUGAAGCUUUUGAAUUAAAACCCUGAUCUUGGUGUUAAUCGGUUGGACUGAAAAAGAAUGGCAUGGCAAGGCAGCUGUUUGAUUUAUGUUUGACUUGACUAUACUGUAAUGGCUUUUUUUUACAUGUAUAAUGUUUUGGUGUUUGUACAUUUUAAUAAAAUAUUGGCUACAUGCCUAAUUAUGUUGGUAUUUUCUGCAUUAAACUUUGCAGUGCUUAACUGUUUUUCACAAAACUAUUACCAAAAUAAAUAUAACACUCGAUGUUUAUUAUUACAUAAUCAUGCAUUCAAUGUGUUCACCGCGAUAAGCCAAACAAACUGGAGGUGUGAGAUACUGGCAACUGUUCUACAGAUCUCAAACGCGUAAAAGUGCUUGGAUGCGGGUCGUCCGCGUGACGUUACAUGGAAAUAUUUUCCAGAUGCGCGCAGAGCAGUGGCGCAGAAUCCCCUAUUUUUGGCUAUUUCGGAAGUUCUACGCUUGCACAAUAGUUUGAUUUCUUUAGGUCGUCUGUAGUAAUAAGAAAUCAUGUUGAAUUAUGAAGACGGAUUUCAGGACGAAUUGGAAGGGGUCCGCCAACCUCGCUGCGUAAAGUAAACUGCGUUUGGUUUGUUCAGCUCUUCAGUCCUUUUCAGAGUCCAAAAUGAGGGCAAUGCAUGCCAUUCUAAUAAUUUUCAUCUGCCUUCACUAUAGUUGGGGUAAGAAGAUGCGCUGGUGCACGGUGUCUGAGCAGGAGCAGAAGAAGUGUGCUGAGCUGGCCAAGGCCCUGGUGGCAGUGUUGCCUCCUGCUGCUGUGGCAGCAUUCGCAAGGCUCUCCUGUGUCCUUGCCUACAGCACUACCGACUGCAUCAACAAGAUCAGGGCUAACCGUGCUGACAUAGUAACAUUGGAUGCAGGGGAAGUCUACACUGCAGUGAAGCAGUUUGGCCUCACUGCCAUUGCCAAGGAGAUCUACAGUGACGGAGGCUGUAUUCUGUCGGUGGCGGUGGUGAGGAACCGCACCCUGGACGUGCGCUCCCUGCAGGGCCAGAGAAGCUGUCAUACUGGGGCCCGCUGGACGGCAGGCUGGAGUCUACCCUUGGGCUUCCUGCUGUCCCGCAACUACCUGACCUGGGCAGAGGAGCAGCCACUCAGUCAGGCGGUCAGUGCCUUCUUCAAUGCCAGUUGUGUUCCUGGGGCGGCUGCCAUAGCACCCGUCCUGUGUACCCUGUGUCAGGGUCAGAAGUCCUACAUCGCCCAGCGCAACUUCCACUGUGAGACGGCACAUGGCGAACCCUUCUACAACAGCCAGGGGGCGCUCAGGUGUCUCAAGACUGGGGCAGGGGAUGUUGCUUUUGUGGACCAUACAGCCCUGGAGGGUAUUGAAGAGAGUGAGAGGGAGGAUUACCAACUGCUGUGUACUGAUGGUACCCGUGCGCCACUAAGCCACUAUGGGAGCUGCAACCUGGGAAGGGGACCAGGACAGGGCAUGGUCACUCGACUCAGUGUUCGUAAGAUCGCACGCAAGUUCCUGGCGGCAGCACAGAUGGCGUUUGGCCGGCGGGGUCGAGAGAGGCAACGUUUCCAGCUUUUUAACUCUGCUCCGUUCGGCGCCGCUGAUCUGCUCUUCAAGGAUGUCACAGAGAAGCUGUCCAUUCUAGAGGAUAACAAGGACAUCAGUCAGGUGCUGGGGCUGGACUAUGUGGCUCUCCUCAAAGGCCUUGGACAUGAAGGAAGCUCAUUGGAGGACAGUGUUGUGCGUUGGUGCUGCAUUAGCCAUGCAGAACAGAAGAAAUGUGAGCAGUGGGCUCUCAGCAUUAAGUCAGACCCAUUGGUGUGUGUUAGAGCCAUCUCCAUGAGCGACUGUGUCGAGAAGAUUAAGAGAGAUGAGGUGGAUGCGGUCUCGCUGGACGCCACACAUGCAUUCAUCGCUGGGAAAUGUGGCCUUGUCCCCGUGGUAACAGAGUAUUAUGGGAAGACGUGCGUACCGGCUGAGGGAGGAGCUGAAAAAGCAGGCCAUUUAGAGACGGAUGUUUUGCCGUCCGUCGUUGGUGUUGCGGUCGUGAAGCGCUCCACCAGGGGUGUGUUCUUUGGGAACUUUGGGGGCAGGCGCUCCUGCCACGGCCACAUGUACAGCCCUGCAGGCUGGCUUCUGCCCUUUAGACACACCCUCAGCCUGGAACACAACAACACCUCUCCCUGCGAACCAAACCAAGUGUACAACGAGGUGUUCUGGAAGGGCUGUCUCCCUGGUUCUCAGGGAAACCUCUGUAAAGUGUGUAUGGGGGGCACUGGGGAGGCUGCCACCAAACGCUGUGCAGACAACCACAACGAGCGUUACUACGGCAACAUGGGGGCUUUGAGGUGCCUGGUAGGAGAUGCCAGUGGGAAGAGCUAUGGAGAUGUGGCCUUUGUUGAGCAGCACAAUCUAGAGAGCAACAUCCUCAGUCUGAGCCCCAGUGGGUGGGCGGAUGGGUGGCUAUCCUGGGACUUUGAGCUUUUGUGUGGGGAUGGCCGGCGGGAACCUUUAUCUGAAUGGGAGAACUGUAACCUAGGAGCCAUCCCACCCAACAUCAUCAUGACAAGACCUGUGCUCACUUCUCGCGUCUACGACUUCCUCAUGAAGUCACAGCCAUUCCAAAUGUUCCCAUCCCUUGAAGGAGACUCUGGCAUCCAACCCAGACACAGAAUUCCGUCUGUUUCAGUCCCAGCAGUAUGGAGAGAGUGAUCUGCUGUUUAAAGAUGCCACUCAGUGCCUCAUCCACACCAGUCACCUGGACUACCGCACCAUACUUGGAGAUGAGUUCUACAGACUAGCAGAGACUGUCUUCAACUGCACACACUCAGACAUCUUGGAAUUUUGCAACCAGGACGUGUGCAGCAUAUUUUGAGCAACAGAGAGAAGAGAAAUCACAUGUUUCACAUUGACCUAUUGUGGAGGCCCUAACCAAAAUGCCAAAAUGUAAUAUUGUUUCUUGCUUCUUGUAAUUCCUCAGUCCACACCCACCUGAAUGUUAAAUAUAUAUAUAUAGAAUUGUCAGAUACUUUUCAA
This is an RNA transcript of Oncorhynchus tshawytscha (Chinook salmon), 5175 nucleotides long. It is a transcript of the gene named Saxiphilin-like, with no coding region annotated. The record is from RefSeq and is a predicted model, not a curated record. NCBI's taxonomy places the organism in Eukaryota, Metazoa, Chordata, Actinopteri, Salmoniformes, Salmonidae. The transcript has 21 exons.